UACGGGGGGGGCAAGCGUUGUUCGGAAUUACUGGGCGUAAAGGGCUCGUAGGCGGCCAACUAAGUCGGAUGUGAAAUCCCCAGGCUCAACUUGGGAACUGCAUCCGAUACUGGAUGGCUUGAAUUCGGGAGAGGGAUGCAGAAUUCCAGGUGUAGCGGUGAAAUGCGUAGAUAUCUGGAGGAAUACCGGUGGCGAAGGCGGCAUCCUGGACCGACAUUGACGCUGAGGAGCGAAAUCUAGGGGAGCAAACGGG
This 253-nucleotide ribosomal RNA is filed under the name uncultured bacterium. RNAcentral's name for it is "partial 16S ribosomal RNA". It matches the Rfam family "Bacterial small subunit ribosomal RNA", at positions 524 to 776 of the family's 1533-position model. The record is from RNAcentral.